CACCCGCUGGCUCUCUCUCUCUCUCUCUCUAUAUCUCUCUCGGUUCUACACGUGAAGAUGGUGAUGAAGAAGGUGAAGAACAUGGCAGGCUUCGUUACUCGGGAUCCCAUCCUUUCCUCCCGUCUUUUGCUGGCUCAUCUCCAAAACUUUUCUGUGAGAAUUGGAAUGCGCUGCAGCUGAAAAGGUAGGGCUAUUCGCGGGGCGAUACUCUGGCAGGAGCCAACCAGACUUGUACCGCACCCCACAGGCAUUACACAACGUGGCCCACCACCCACCACCGUCGCCUCGUAGUAGGAUCCCACAAAGCCUUCCUCGUUGCUCAACACCUCCACCACUUUGCUGGAAAUUUGGCCGGAAAAUUUAACGGCAAGACCAAAUGUGAUACAAAAUGAAUAGUCAUGCACCUAAUUUGAAAA
This is a long non-coding RNA of Ipomoea triloba (trilobed morning glory), 416 nucleotides long. RefSeq lists it as uncharacterized. The transcript has 2 exons. The record is from RefSeq and is a predicted model, not a curated record. Lineage: Eukaryota; Viridiplantae; Streptophyta; Magnoliopsida; Solanales; Convolvulaceae.